ACUCCUACGGGAGGCAGCAGUGGGGAAUUUUGGACAAUGGGGGCAACCCUGAUCCAGCAAUGCCGCGUGUGUGAAGAAGGCCUUCGGGUUGUAAAGCACUUUUGUCCGGAAAGAAAACCGCUUCUCUAAUACAGGGGCGGGAUGACGGUACCGGAAGAAUAAGCACCGGCUAACUACGUGCCAGCAGCCGCGGUAAUACGUAGGGUGCAAGCGUUAAUCGGAAUUACUGGGCGUAAAGCGUGCGCAGGCGGUUCGCUAAGACCGAUGUGAAAUCCCCGGGCUUAACCUGGGAACUGCAUUGGUGACUGGCGGGCUAGAGUAUGGCAGAGGGGGGUAGAAUUCCACGUGUAGCAGUGAAAUGCGUAGAGAUGUGGAGGAAUACCGAUGGCGAAGGCAGCCCCCUGGGCCAAUACUGACGCUCAUGCACGAAAGCGUGGGGAGCAAACAGGAUUAGAUACCCUGGUAGUCCACGCCCUAAACGAUGUCAACUAGUUGUCGGGUCUUCAUUGACUUGGUAACGAAGCUAACGCGUGAAGUUGACCGCCUGGGGAGUACGGUCGCAAGAUUAAAACUCAAAGGAAUUGACG
This 587-nucleotide ribosomal RNA is filed under the name uncultured Burkholderia sp. Its description in RNAcentral is "bacterial SSU rRNA". It matches the Rfam family "Bacterial small subunit ribosomal RNA", at positions 335 to 915 of the family's 1533-position model. Lineage: Bacteria; Pseudomonadati; Pseudomonadota; Betaproteobacteria; Burkholderiales; Burkholderiaceae. The record is from RNAcentral.